CCUACGGGAGGCAGCAGUGAGGAAUAUUUGUCAAUGGACGAGAGUCUGAACCUGCCAAGUAGCGUGAAGGAUGACUGCCCUAUGGGUUGUAAACUUCUUUUAUAUGGGAAUAAAACGUUCCACGUGUGGGAUUUUGUAUGUACCAUAUGAAUAAGGAUCGGCUAACUCCGUGCCAGCAGCCGCGGUAAUACGGAGGAUCCGAGCGUUAUCCGGAUUUAUUGGGUUUAAAGGGAGCGUAGGUGGAUUGUUAAGUCAGUUGUGAAAGUUUGCGGCUCAACCGUAAAAUUGCAGUUGAAACUGGCAGUCUUGAGUACAGUAGAGGUGGGCGGAAUUCGUGGUGUAGCGGUGAAAUGCUUAGAUAUCACGAAGAACUCCGAUUGCGAAGGCAGUUCACUGGACUGCAACUGACACUGAGGCUCGAAAGUGUGGGUAUCAAACAGGAUUAGAUACCCGGGUAGUC
This 460-nucleotide ribosomal RNA is filed under the name uncultured bacterium. RNAcentral's name for it is "partial 16S ribosomal RNA". It matches the Rfam family "Bacterial small subunit ribosomal RNA", at positions 338 to 795 of the family's 1533-position model. The record is from RNAcentral.